Molecule: long non-coding RNA, 1850 nt
Organism: Musa acuminata AAA Group (dessert banana)
Lineage: Eukaryota; Viridiplantae; Streptophyta; Magnoliopsida; Zingiberales; Musaceae
Exons: 2
Source: RefSeq, a predicted model, not a curated record
ACAGCGUGAUCUUUCCACACUUCCCAGCGUUGAGUUCAUCAAACUGGUUGCAGAUUAACAUGAUGUCCUUCUCUGAGAUCUUCCCCAUCUCCUUGAGCUUGUAGAUCACAAACUCUGAUUUGCUACAGAAUGUAAUGAGGUCUGCUGCCAUCAGAUCUCCCGCGGUCAUCUUCCUCUUGAGCACCCACUCUGCAGUCCUUCGAUUCCUUUUCUCGAUCCUGAGCUCGGUCAGAUACAAGAACGCCUUGGCGACAGCGAGAGUGCUCACCAGCAGCCACACUGAUGCAAACAGCCUCCCCUUCAUCGUCAAGAAGGUGUAGUCCCCGUACCCCACUGUCGUCACGGAGGUCACCGAGAGAUAGAAGCUGUCGAGCCAAGCCAGCCCCUCCAGGACGUGCACCAUCACAGUCCCCACCGCAACACAGCAGAUAACGACACACAGUGCCAACCCCACCUUCAUCCGCACCCUCAUCCGCCCCUUCCUCAUGUCCAUCACAUACGUCCUGAAGAUCACGUUGCGACGGCUCUCGUCUACGGCGCUGAGCAGCACUGCCUCCUGCUUGUCGAGCACGUAGGUCAGCAACCCAUUGAGGAGGACAUCCACGAAGCCGAAGCCCACCAGAAUGAACGCACAGGUAAAGAGCUUGGUGAAGCUGGUGUGAGGCACUAUGUCGCCAUACCCGAUUGUGCACAUGCUCACGAUGGCGAAGUAUAGCCCGUCGACCAGUGGAAACGUUCUGUGCCCCUUGAAGCUCCCUUGCCUCACCAUGAAGACGAUGAUCCCUACCGAGAUGUACAGGAUUGCUCCAACUAUGGCUUGCCGCACAAUCCAUGGUGAACGCGUGGUCGGAGAAUCUGCAGGUUCGGCAUCGAGUGCCAGGGCUUGACUUUCCUUGAUGCAGGUGAAUAUGGAUGGGGCAGAGUAGGACCGGCGAGAGGCUUUAGUGGAAUGCUCAUUGGGCUCCUUGAUCACUGGUGUGUCAAGGAGUGGAACAGCAAGAGUGGGUAAGGUUCUGCAGCAUGGAAAACUGGUGAGAUAGCUGAAGUGAUGAGAUGAGUUGCUGUUGCGAUGAUCUGAGAGCUCAUGAGAGCAAUUCUGUAUGGAUUCCGGUGUCUUGGUUGACAAAAGCUUGUCCAUGGACAUGAAGCAGUGCAGGAAUUCGUGAUCUGAAACUUAGAGCACUACUCAGGUAUGUUGGAAGUUGUUGGGUUGACUAUUUGGUUGGAGUACUGGUAGUUAAUCCAACCUGUCUGUCAUCGUGGAAUAGAAGUUAGAUUAGCUUCUGAACACCCAAGAAUUAAAAGGCUAGUAAGUUAUGUUUCUGAGUAUUUAGCUCACAAUUUCUAAGCUUAGACUGUGUAUAUAUAUAUAUAUACAAAGGAUUAACAUCUGUUGCUUCUUUCAGAUUCCUGCACUAAAUCUUCAGGGAAAUUAGACCUGCAAAAAGGGAAUUCUCCAGCUGCAGUUCUUCCAUAUUGACCAGCACAAAGUACAUUACUCUGGUUCAUAGGUGCCAACAAUAACUCAGAUCAGAAGCUCUCCAUUCCUCUGGUUCCGAUGAAAGGAUCCAUGGAGGAACAUAAAAUGAAGUAAUUGUGUCAUUUAUGGUGAUCCCUGCAUUUUAAUGGUCUGAGCUCUCCAGAAAACUGGUAGAGACUACAGUGAAUUUUGCCUUCAAAUACUGCAUUACUAUAUUUUGCCAUUUUACCCAAUAUUUCCUUUUUUGUGUGGUAAAUUUCUACCAAGAGAAUUAGUUUGUAGAUUUUAUUAAUGUAGCCAUGACUACAAUAAAGGUAUUACAGAUCAUUAUACAUUAGAUUUGGUUAAUGGAAAUGAGCGUCUGAAAGUC